AUUGAACGCUGGCGGCAUGCUUUACACAUGCAAGUCGAACGGCAGCGCGGGCUUCGGCCUGGCGGCGAGUGGCGAACGGGUGAGUAAUACAUCGGAACGUGCCCAGUAGUGGGGGAUAGCUCGGCGAAAGCCGGAUUAAUACCGCAUACGACCUGAGGGUGAAAGCGGGGGAUCUUCGGACCUCGCGCUAUUGGAGCGGCCGAUGGCAGAUUAGCUAGUUGGUGGGGUAAAGGCCUACCAAGGCGACGAUCUGUAGCUGGUCUGAGAGGACGACCAGCCAAACUGGGACUGAGACACGGCCCAGACUCCUACGGGAGGCAGCAGUGGGGAAUUUUGGACAAUGGGCGAAAGCCUGAUCCAGCAAUGCCGCGUGUGUGAUGAAGGCCUUCGGGUUGUAAAGCACUUUUGGCGGGAACGAAAAGGACUGUGCCAAUACCACGGUUCGAUGACGGUACCCGCAGAAUAAGCACCGGCUAACUACG
This 482-nucleotide ribosomal RNA is filed under the name uncultured bacterium. RNAcentral describes it as "partial 16S ribosomal RNA". It matches the Rfam family "Bacterial small subunit ribosomal RNA", at positions 29 to 505 of the family's 1533-position model. The record is from RNAcentral.